GAUGAACGCUAGCUACAGGCUUAACACAUGCAAGUCGCGGGGCAGCAUGUGGGUUGCUUGCAACCCCUGAUGGCGACCGGCGCACGGGUGAGUAACGCGUAUCCAACCUGCCCUUCACCACGGGAUAACCCGGCGAAAGUCGGACUAAUACCGUAUGUUGUCCAUUGACGGCAUCCGAUUUGGACGUAGGGCCUGGCGGAGAACGGAUGGUGAUGCGUUCGAUUAGCUUGACGGCGGGGUAACGGCCCACCGUGGCUACGAUCGGUAGGGGUUCUGAGAGGAAGGGCCCCCACGCUGGAACUGAGACACGGUCCAGACUCCUACGGGAGGCAGCAGUGAGGAAUAUUGGUCAAUGGGCGUAAGCCUGAACCAGCCAAGUAGCGUGCAGGAUGACGGCCCUAUGGGUUGUAAACUGCUGUUAUGCGGGGAUAAAGUGGCCCACGUGUGGGCUUUUGCAGGUACCGCAUGAAUAAGGACCGGCUAAUUCCGUG
RNAcentral lists this ribosomal RNA (491 nucleotides) under uncultured bacterium. RNAcentral's name for it is "partial 16S ribosomal RNA". It matches the Rfam family "Bacterial small subunit ribosomal RNA", at positions 28 to 507 of the family's 1533-position model. The record is from RNAcentral.